UUACAGCCAUAUCACAAUGAAACACCAGUUCUCGUGCGAUCACGGAAGUUAAGUAACGUCGAGCCUGGUCAGUAACUCGAUGGGUAACCGCUUCGGAAUAUCAGGUGCU
Non-coding RNA from Acanthosepion pharaonis, 109 nucleotides. The record is from the annotation of a GenBank genome assembly. Lineage: Eukaryota; Metazoa; Mollusca; Cephalopoda; Sepiida; Sepiidae.